This 483-nucleotide ribosomal RNA is filed under the name uncultured bacterium. RNAcentral's name for it is "partial 16S ribosomal RNA". It matches the Rfam family "Bacterial small subunit ribosomal RNA", at positions 28 to 523 of the family's 1533-position model. The record is from RNAcentral.
GACGAACGCUGGCGGCGUGCUUAACACAUGCAAGUCGAACGAUGAUGCCCAGCUUGCUGGGUGGAUUAGUGGCGAACGGGUGAGUAACACGUGAGUAACCUGCCCCUGACUCUGGGAUAAGCGUUGGAAACGACGUCUAAUACUGGAUAUGAUCACUGGCCGCAUGGUCUGGUGGUGGAAAGAUUUUUUGGUUGGGGAUGGACUCGCGGCCUAUCAGCUUGUUGGUGAGGUAAUGGCUCACCAAGGCGACGACGGGUAGCCGGCCUGAGAGGGUGACCGGCCACACUGAGACUGAGAUACGGCCCAGACUCCUACGGGAGGCAGCAGUGGGGAAUAUUGCACAAUGGGCGAAAGCCUGAUGCAGCAACGCCGCGUGAGGGAUGACGGCCUUCGGGUUGUAAACCUCUUUUAGUAGGGAAGAAGCGAAAGUGACGGUACCUGCAGAAAAAGCACCGGCUAACUACGUGCCAGCCGCCGCAGUAA